RNAcentral lists this small nuclear RNA (108 nucleotides) under Mesocricetus auratus (golden hamster). Lineage: Eukaryota; Metazoa; Chordata; Mammalia; Rodentia; Cricetidae. The record is from RNAcentral.
GCAACAGAAAUGAAUAGGGUGCUUACUAAACAUAGAAUCAUACACAGAAAAUUGGCCCAGUCCCUGCACAAUGAUGACAUGUAAAAUUGUGAGCAAUUAAUUAAAAAU